Molecule: ribosomal RNA, 406 nt
Filed under: uncultured bacterium
Lineage: Bacteria
Description: partial 16S ribosomal RNA
Rfam family: Bacterial small subunit ribosomal RNA
Source: RNAcentral
AUUGAACGCUGGCGGCAGGCUUAACACAUGCAAGUCGAGCGAGUGGCGGACGGGUGAGUAAUGUCUGGGACACUGCCUGAUGGAGGGGGAUACCUACUGGAAACGGUAGCUAAUACCGCCUACCAUUGCCUGUGCCCAGUUGGGAUUAGCUUGUGGGUGGGGUAAUGGCUCACCAAGGCGACGAUCCCUAGCUGGGCUGAGAGGAUGACCAGCCACACUGGAACUGAGACACGGUCCAGACUCCUACGGGAGGCAGCAGUGGGGAAUAUUGGACAAUGGGGGCAAGCCGGAUGCAGCCAUGCCGCGUGUAUGAAGAAGGCCUUCGGGUUGUAAAGCACUUUCGGCAGGGAGGCGGUACCGGCAGAAGAAGCACCGGCUAACUCCGUGCCAGCAGCCGCGGUAAUAC